GUCAGGUGUGGUGGCACGCACUUGUAAUUCCAGCAACUCAGGAGGCUGAGACAGGAGGAUCACAAAUUGAAAACCAGCCUCAGCAAUUUAGUGAUACCCUGUCUCAA
RNAcentral lists this small RNA (107 nucleotides) under Marmota monax (woodchuck). Lineage: Eukaryota; Metazoa; Chordata; Mammalia; Rodentia; Sciuridae. The record is from RNAcentral.